UUCAAGUUAGCUGAUACAAGGGAAGAGGAAAGGAGAUACUAGCAGCCAGAAGGAGACAUGGUGGGAAAGGGGCUGACCAGAUAAGGAGAAAAGGGCAUUUACAGGCUAUGUUCAUUCCUCCUAUUCCCUUCCAAUCUCAAAGGGACCCUCCUAACCCGGCUGGUCAUUCAAGUCGAAAAGUGCUGCCGCUGAGUGCCAAGUGAGAAGGCUGACCCAGAUGAAGUGACCAACCUAGUGUGCAUCACAGAAGCAGCUGAUUAGCAGUGCCACAGUAAGAACAUUAUAAAAAAACAACCCUUCCUGGAAACUGCACAGGAGAUCCUGCCGUGAGUCUUGUUCGGGCUGCAGUCCUAAGUGCAUUUAAUGAGUAAGUCCCAAGGAACGCAGCGGAGCUUACUUCUGAACAAACUUUUAAAAGGAUUAUUCUGCAAGAGAUCCAAGCUAUCCAUUUUUAAAAAUAACAUUACCGACCUUUGACAUGUCUACAGAUUAAUAACAGUGUUUUAUCUAUUGAGAGAACAGCCGCCACUUUGGGGAUUGUGUUUUUGUGUGAACCCUUGGAGAAGUCUGAAUUCUAGUCAAGCUGUAGCUGGAUAUUUCCAAAGCAUAACCCUGGUCAGAUGCGGAUGCUCACUGAAAUAGUUUCCAGAGCAUUCUGCACUUUGGUUGGAUGACCGUCUGUUUCACAUUAAGAUGAACAAUAGAGGAAUGUGGUGAUGAAAGAGUGUGCAUCUGAUGCUAAACAUCAAAUAUGUUUGCAAAAAAAACCCUCCACAAUUGUUUAAGCCUUUUUACUCAGCAUAUGUGUGUGCGCACAAGAGACAGACAGAGUAAGACUGAAAACAUAACAUCUGGUAUUUGUUUUACGGUACUAUUUUGAAAAUAUUUAAUGGACUUCUGUGGCUGUUAACCUGAACUAUUUUCUAUACUUGCCAAGGCCAUACUAAUGACUUGGUGCUUUGUUUAUUGGGAUGUUUUCUUUCCUUUGAUUCAAGGCCAGUUUAUAAACCACUUUGUUGUGGGCAUUUUUCUAUCACAACAGCAUCAUGCAUUUCAGAGUAUGAUGGGCUGAAUUGUUAAAGAUCCCAAACCCUUAU
Molecule: long non-coding RNA, 1097 nt
Organism: Eublepharis macularius
Lineage: Eukaryota; Metazoa; Chordata; Lepidosauria; Squamata; Eublepharidae
Exons: 3
Source: RefSeq, a predicted model, not a curated record